Molecule: ribosomal RNA, 465 nt
Filed under: uncultured bacterium
Lineage: Bacteria
Description: bacterial SSU rRNA
Rfam family: Bacterial small subunit ribosomal RNA
Source: RNAcentral
CCUACGGGAUGCAGCAUUGGGGAAUAUUGCACAAUGGGCGCAAGCCUGAUGCAGCCAUGCCGCGUGUAUGAAGAAGGCCUUCGGGUUGUAAAGUACUUUCAGCGGGGAGGAAGGUGUUGUGGUUAAUAACCACAGCAAUUGACGUUACCCGCAGAAGAAGCACCGGCUAACUCCGUGCCAGCAGCCGCGGUAAUACGGAGGGUGCAAGCGUUAAUCGGAAUUACUGGGCGUAAAGCGCAUGCAGGCGGCCUGUUAAGUCAGAUGUGAAAGCCCGGGGCUUAACCUGGGAACUGCAUUCGAAACUGGCAGGCUAGAGUCUUGUAGAGGGGGGUAGAAUUCCAGGUGUAGCGGUGAAAUGCGUAGAGAUCUGGAGGAAUACCGGUGGCGAAGGCGGCCCCCUGGACAAAGACUGACGCUCAGGUGCGAAAGCGUGGGGAGCAAACAGGAUUAGAUACCCCGGUAGUC